Molecule: ribosomal RNA, 499 nt
Filed under: uncultured Glomeromycotina
Lineage: Eukaryota; Fungi; Glomeromycota
Description: partial small subunit ribosomal RNA
Rfam family: Eukaryotic small subunit ribosomal RNA
Source: RNAcentral
CCAAUAGCGUAUAUUAAAGUUGUUGCAGUUAAAAAGCUCGUAGUUGAAUUUCGAGACCGGUUUAUUGGUCGUGCUUUUGUACGUACUGGUAUUAUUGGUUUCUCCUUUCUGACGAAUCUUAAUGCCAUUAAUUUGGUGUUUUGGGGAAUCAGGACUGUUACUUUGAAAACAUUAGAGUGUUUAAAGCAGGCUCACGCUUGAAUACAUUAGCAUGGAAUAAAGGAAUAGGACGUUUGAUUCUAUUUUGUUGGUUUCUAGGAUCGACGUAAUGAUUAAUAGGGAUAGUUGUGGGCAUUAGUAUUCAAUUGUCAGAGGUGAAAUUCUUGGAUUUAUUGAAGACUAACUACUGCGAAAGCAUUUGCCAAGGAUGUUUUCAUUAAUCAAGAACGAAAGUUAGGGGAUCGAAGACGAUCAGAUACCGUCGUAGUCUUAACCAUAAACUAUGCCGACUAGGGAUCGGAUGAUGUUAAUUUUUUAAUGACUCAUUCGGCGCCUUACG